UCGCGGUAACACGUAGAAGACUAGUGUUAUUCAUCUUUAUUAGGUUUAAAGGGUACCUAGACGGAAAAUCAAGCCAUAAUAGGGACUAAUUUUCUAGAGUUUUAUGAGAGAAGGGGUGAAUUUCCGGAGGAAAGUUGAUAUUUAGUGAUACUGGAAGGACGGGUAACGGCGAAGGCAACCUUGUAUGUAAAAACUGACGUUGAGGGACGAAGCCUUGGGUAACGAGAAGGAUUAGAUACCCUAGUAGUCCUUGGAGACAAUUAUGAAUGUCAUAGGCUAGAUAAUUUAGCCUAUAAAUGAAAGUGUAAGCAUUCCACCUCAUGAGUAAAGCGGCAACGCCCAAAUUGAAAUCAUUAGACCGUUUCUGAAACCAGUANUGAAGUAUGUUAUUUAAUUCGAUGAUCCGCGAAUAACCUUACCACAAUAUGCAUUGAAUAUUAUUCAAUUAUUACAAGCGCUGCACGGCUGUCUUCAGUUAAUGUCGUGAGAUUUUGGUUCGUUCCUUUAAUUAACGAAAACCCUUGCUUUAUUUGUUUUUAUAAA
RNAcentral lists this ribosomal RNA (543 nucleotides) under Chaetothyriales sp. A539. RNAcentral describes it as "SSU rRNA". It matches the Rfam family "Bacterial small subunit ribosomal RNA", at positions 515 to 1127 of the family's 1533-position model. Lineage: Eukaryota; Fungi; Ascomycota; Eurotiomycetes; Chaetothyriales. The record is from RNAcentral.